Coturnix japonica (Japanese quail) is the source of this 228-nucleotide non-coding RNA. Lineage: Eukaryota; Metazoa; Chordata; Aves; Galliformes; Phasianidae. The record is from RefSeq and is a predicted model, not a curated record.
GCGGAGGCGCAGGGCUCCGCGGUGGGACGCGGUCACCGUAACGAGCGCGGCGCUGCCGGGAGUGCCCCCGAAGCGCCUCCCUCCAUGGCUGGGGCUCUGCGGGGAUGGGGUUGUCCCUCUCCGCAGCGAAAUCUCUCUCUCCGUGUGACUGGCGCUUUGGAUGCGUGGGAGUGCGAGCGGGUGCAGACCUUCAGAAGAGAUCUGAUCCCCCAAGAUAGCCCGAGGGAG